Long non-coding RNA from Vespa crabro (European hornet), 337 nucleotides. RefSeq lists it as uncharacterized. The record is from RefSeq and is a predicted model, not a curated record. The transcript is spliced from 3 exons. NCBI's taxonomy places the organism in Eukaryota, Metazoa, Arthropoda, Insecta, Hymenoptera, Vespidae.
UGACGAGCAAACGAAAGGACGUAUGACGAUCCUUCUUAAAAGUUUUUGUCGAAUUUUUAAAUACAUUGUAAUUCAUUUAUUAUUUCUUACAUUACGAGGCUACAAGGUUAAAGAGAAUGCUUGGCAAUCGUGAGGAUAAACGUUCUAUUAGAAUUUGGAGAAGGAAAGUAUUCUUUCGUCGGAGAACCCUGUUAACGAACGUAAUCCGUUCUUUGACGCAGCAGUUACGAUGACGCAGUUACGAUCGAUUUUGCAAUUUGAAAGCUUUCAAACUGACACUGAAAAAAAUACUGAUUUAUGUAAGCCGAAUAAAGUCAAGAAUUAUGUUCAUCAAUAG